CAGCAAGUUGCAGGAGCAGCUGCUGCUAGCAAGUUCCCUCCAUCCUGAGCCCUGUCGUGUCCCCACUCGCUCUAUAGAGAUGAGGGAGUGGAAGGUCAUGGGUAUUUUCAACUGGAGGUGAUCUGAUUUUAUGGAGCAGCAAAAGACUUUGGCUAAAUUCUGCUCUCAGGAACAUGAUUGUAUAUCCACAAUAACUAUUAAAGUCAAAGCAGUGACUAUGGAUUUACAGUCAGAGUGCAAAAUCUGAUCCUUUAUCAUUGCAAUUUAUGGGGAACUUGUUGUUAAGGUGCAACAAUGGAAAAUGUUCUGUUACCUCUUUAAUGAUUAAAGUAGCAUGACCUGUAUUACUUACCGCCGCAACAAUUAGCUUUGAAGCUGAUGAAAUGAGCCUCAUGACUUCUUCUUGUGAUGUGUAUGAGGGAGGAGGAAAUUGAGAUAGUCUGGAAGGGAAGCUGUGCAGCUUCUUUGUUCUAGUUAAGCGUGAAAGAAUAUAUUUUAAUCCAUGUUGAAAGAAAAUUCUAUACAUAUCAAUAGGAUAUAAUAUACCACAGGUGUUUGUGAACGUCAGGAAUGUAAAUAAAUUGCCAUGAUUUCAAAACAGACAGACUGCUGUGAAUAUGGUGAAAUUUAUUACACUAUUCUAUGAACUGUUAUGCAAAGGCUUGUAUGUGGGACAUUUUGAAGCUGUGGUGUAAAAUAAUUAGCUUCUCAAUAGUUUCUGUUUUAUUAACAGAAUUAAAGUCAUGGAAAAGAUUUUUUUACCUGAAGUUAUAAAUUGGAUUUCUGUGCUACGCGUUCAGAGAUUAUUUUUACAUUUAUGUUUCUGUUGGGAAAAGAAUAGGGAGAGCCCAGCUCUUGAUUUGAUCCUUAUAGAGAGAGGUCUGUUUUGUGUUUCUAUGCAUGAUGAUCCACGUCUCCUCUUCCUGUCCUUUUACACAGAGAUUGCCAGCACCCUUCCUGCUUGCAGCUGUUUAUCGGAGUUUAGGUUCAUGAGUGAAUUAUAUUCCAUAAAGCAAUGCCAGUCUAAAGGCUCCUCCCUGCAAUUUUCAGAUUUUCUCCCACCCAGUUAUUCUGUGCUCACCAUUUCCUUCAUACAUACACUUCUCAAACCUCCCCACAAGCCACCACUACAAUGUUCCUCUUCCAGCAAAGAAGAGGAAAGUCAGUGGCACUUCUAUUCCAUCUGUAGGUCAGAGAGAUCCAUCUGGAGAGUGGAAAUUCGUCAACCUGAGUUUCUUGAGCAACAGUUACUCCCAUAACUCAAGCGCCAGUGGCUUAGGAGUCAUACCUGGGUCUGCUGUGUAGCAGUAUAUUGCACUGCUGAUGUUUGUGGCCUGGCCCAAGACAAAAUGCUUAAUAGAAUUUACUGUGAUCUAUACAUUACUUUUUUGUACUCCUUACUAAGACUGGGAAAUGUCUGUCAGUUACAAAAUCCUUCAAAACAAACAUAUUAUUGCAUUUAUUUAAUGCAACUCUGACUGUAAUUAUCUUCUUCAGAGGGACUUUAAUAAAGCUGCAAAAUG
Long non-coding RNA from Chelonia mydas (Green sea turtle), 1523 nucleotides. RefSeq lists it as uncharacterized. The transcript has 2 exons. Lineage: Eukaryota; Metazoa; Chordata; Testudines; Cheloniidae. The record is from RefSeq and is a predicted model, not a curated record.